RNAcentral lists this ribosomal RNA (990 nucleotides) under Salmonella enterica subsp. enterica. RNAcentral's name for it is "partial 23S ribosomal RNA". It matches the Rfam family "Bacterial large subunit ribosomal RNA", at positions 712 to 1616 of the family's 2925-position model. The record is from RNAcentral. Lineage: Bacteria; Pseudomonadati; Pseudomonadota; Gammaproteobacteria; Enterobacterales; Enterobacteriaceae.
GACCCGAAACCCGGUGAUCUAGCCAUGGGCAGGUUGAAGGUUGGGUAACACUAACUGGAGGACCGAACCGACUAAUGUUGAAAAAUUAGCGGAUGACCUGUGGCUGGGGGUGAAAGGCCAAUCAAACCGGGAGAUAGCUGGUUCUCCCCGAAAGCUAUUUAGGUAGCGCCUCGUGAAUUCAUCUCCGGGGGUAGAGCACUGUUUCGGCUAGGGGGCCAUCCCGGCUUACCAACCCGAUGCAAACUGCGAAUACCGGAGAAUGUUAUCACGGGAGACACACGGCGGGUGCUAACGUCCGUCGUGAAGAGGGAAACAACCCAGACCGCCAGCUAAGGUCCCAAAGUCAUGGUUAAGUGGGAAACGAUGUGGGAAGGCCCAGACAGCCAGGAUGUUGGCUUAGAAGCAGCCAUCAUUUAAAGAAAGCGUAAUAGCUCACUGGUCGAGUCGGCCUGCGCGGAAGAUGUAACGGGGCUAAACCAUGCACCGAAGCUGCGGCAGCGAACGUAUCACCCAAGACAACUUUACGGAGUUGACGAUUGACGGAGCGAAGCGACGUCAAAGCGUUCAUUAAAGUCGAGUUGGCUUAGGGAUACGUUCGUUGGGUAGGGGAGCGUUCUGUAAGCCUGUGAAGGUGUGUCGUGAGGCAUGCUGGAGGUAUCAGAAGUGCGAAUGCUGACAUAAGUAACGAUAAAGCGGGUGAAAAGCCCGCUCGCCGGAAGACCAAGGGUUCCUGUCCAACGUUAAUCGGGGCAGGGUGAGUCGACCCCUAAGGCGAGGCCGAAAGGCGUAGUCGAUGGGAAACGGGUUAAUAUUCCCGUACUUGGUGUUACUGCGAAGGGGGGACGGAGAAGGCUAUGUUGGCCGGGCGACGGUUGUCCCGGUUUAAGCGUGUAGGUGUGUGUUCCAGGUAAAUCCGGUUCACUUUAACACUGAGGCGUGACGACGAGGCACUACGGUGCUGAAGCAACAAAUGCCCUGCUUCCAGGAAAA